UCCAGACUCCUACGGGAGGCAGCAGUGAGGAAUAUUGGUCAAUGGCCGCAGGGCUGAACCAGCCAAGUCGCGUGAGGGAUGACGGUCCUAUGGAUUGUAAACCUCUUUUGUCAGGGAGCAAAGGGCGCCACGUGUGGCGUUUUGCGAGUACCUGAAGAAAAAGCAUCGGCUAACUCCGUGCCAGCAGCCGCGGUAAUACGGAGGAUCCGAGCGUUAUCCGGAUUUAUUGGGUUUAAAGGGAGCGUAGAUGGGUUGUUAAGUCAGUUGUGAAAGUUUGCGGCUCAACCGUAAAAUUGCAAUUGAUACUGGCAGUCUUGAGUACAGUUGAGGUAGGCGGAAUUCGUGGUGUAGCGGUGAAAUGCUUAGAUAUUGCGCAGAACUCCGAUUGCGAAGGCAGCAUACCGGCGGCGAUCUGACGCUGAGGCACGAAAGCGUGGGUAUCGAACAGGAUUAGAUACCCCAGUAAA
RNAcentral lists this ribosomal RNA (467 nucleotides) under uncultured bacterium. RNAcentral describes it as "bacterial SSU rRNA". It matches the Rfam family "Bacterial small subunit ribosomal RNA", at positions 330 to 794 of the family's 1533-position model. The record is from RNAcentral.